RNAcentral lists this ribosomal RNA (425 nucleotides) under uncultured bacterium. RNAcentral's name for it is "bacterial SSU rRNA". It matches the Rfam family "Bacterial small subunit ribosomal RNA", at positions 966 to 1392 of the family's 1533-position model. The record is from RNAcentral.
GAACCUUACCAGGUCUUGACUCUGGGUGUAAGCACUAGAGAUAGUGCCCCUCUUCGGAGCACCCAAGACAGGUGGUGCAUGGUUGUCGUCAGCUCGUGUCGUGAGAUGUUGGGUUAAGUCCCGCAACGAGCGCAACCCUUGAUCUUAGUUGCCAGCACUUCGGGUGGGCACUCUAGGAUGACUGCCGGUGACAAACCGGAGGAAGGUGGGGAUGACGUCAAAUCAUCAUGCCCCUUAUGACCUGGGCUACACACGUACUACAAUGGUCGGUACAACGGGAAGCGAAGCCGCGAGGUGGAGCCAAUCCUUAUAAGCCGAUCUCAGUUCGGAUUGCAGGCUGCAACUCGCCUGCAUGAAGUCGGAAUUGCUAGUAAUCGCGGAUCAGCAUGCCGCGGUGAAUACGUUCCCGGGUCUUGUACACACCG